GGAUGUAGCUCAGUUGGUAGAGCACUUGUCUCGCAUGCAUAAGGCCCUGAGUUGAAUCCUCACCACCA
This 68-nucleotide transfer RNA is filed under the name Marmota monax (woodchuck). RNAcentral's name for it is "tRNA.Ala". The record is from RNAcentral. Lineage: Eukaryota; Metazoa; Chordata; Mammalia; Rodentia; Sciuridae.